CCUACGGGCGGCUGCAGUGGGGAAUAUUGCACAAGGGGCGCAAGCCUGAUGCAGCCAUGCCGCGUGUGUGAAGAAGGCCUUCGGGUUGUAAAGCACUUUCAGCGGGGAGGAAGGCGGUGAGGUUAAUAACCUCAUCGAUUGACGUUACCCGCAGAAGAAGCACCGGCUAACUCCGUGCCAGCAGCCGCGGUAAUACGGAGGGUGCAAGCGUUAAUCGGAAUUACUGGGCGUAAAGCGCACGCAGGCGGUCUGUCAAGUCGGAUGUGAAAUCCCCGGGCUCAACCUGGGAACUGCAUUCGAAACUGGCAGGCUAGAGUCUUGUAGAGGGGGGUAGAAUUCCAGGUGUAGCGGUGAAAUGCGUAGAGAUCUGGAGGAAUACCGGUGGCGAAGGCGGCCCCCUGGACAAAGACUGACGCUCAGGUGCGAAAGCGUGGGGAGCAAACAGGAUUAGAUACCCUUGUAGUC
This 465-nucleotide ribosomal RNA is filed under the name uncultured Klebsiella sp. RNAcentral describes it as "bacterial SSU rRNA". It matches the Rfam family "Bacterial small subunit ribosomal RNA", at positions 338 to 795 of the family's 1533-position model. Lineage: Bacteria; Pseudomonadati; Pseudomonadota; Gammaproteobacteria; Enterobacterales; Enterobacteriaceae. The record is from RNAcentral.